GGGUUGUCCAGGAUUGUCUAUGGAUUGGGACUUUUAAUCCGUUUGUCGUGGGUUCGACCCCCGCACGUCCCACCA
Molecule: transfer RNA, 75 nt
Filed under: Acidovorax carolinensis
Lineage: Bacteria; Pseudomonadati; Pseudomonadota; Betaproteobacteria; Burkholderiales; Comamonadaceae
Description: tRNA-Lys
Source: RNAcentral